Molecule: non-coding RNA, 134 nt
Organism: Triticum aestivum (bread wheat)
Lineage: Eukaryota; Viridiplantae; Streptophyta; Magnoliopsida; Poales; Poaceae
Source: Rfam
UUUCUACUCCCUCUGUCCGAAAAUACUUGUCAUCAAAAUGGAUAAAAAGAGAUGUAUCUAAAACUAAAAUAUUUGUAGAUACAUUUCCUUUUAUCCAUUUUGAUGACAAGUAUUUCCGGAGGAGGGAGUAUUUG